AGCAGCCGCGGUAAUUCCAGCUCCAAUAGCGUAUAUUAAAGUUGUUGCAGUUAAAAAGCUCGUAGUUGAAUUUCGGGAUCAGUACGCUGGUCGUGCCUUUGGUAUGUACUGGUGUCACUGAUUCCUCCCUUCUGAAGAACCGUUAUGCCAUUUAUUUGGUGUGGCGGGAAAUCAGGACUGUUACUUUGAAAAAAUUAGAGUGUUUAAAGCAGGCUCGCGCUUGAAUACAUUAGCAUGGAAUAAUGAAAUAGGACGUUUGAUCUUAUUUUGUUGGUUUCUAGGAUCGACGUAAUGAUUAAUAGGGAUAGUUGGGGGCAUUAGUAUUCAAUUGUCAGAGGUGAAAUUCUUGGAUUUAUUGAAGACUGACUACUGCGAAAGCAUUUGCCAAGGAUGUUUUCAUUAAUCAAGAACGAAAGUUAGGGGAUCGAAGACGAUCAGAUACCGUCGUAG
Molecule: ribosomal RNA, 450 nt
Filed under: uncultured Glomeromycotina
Lineage: Eukaryota; Fungi; Glomeromycota
Description: SSU rRNA
Rfam family: Eukaryotic small subunit ribosomal RNA
Source: RNAcentral